Molecule: long non-coding RNA, 6777 nt
Organism: Prionailurus viverrinus (fishing cat)
Lineage: Eukaryota; Metazoa; Chordata; Mammalia; Carnivora; Felidae
Exons: 2
Source: RefSeq, a predicted model, not a curated record
AGAACAAUGACACCGCCGGGGGCGGGCACCCGGAGGCAGCCCGGGCGGGGGUCUCCCCGGAGGACAGAGACUAGCGGAAGACGUCCUGGACCCGCUAGGGCCAUUGCCUGAUUGACGAGGCCCGCUUGGGAGCGCGGACGUGCGACGCAGACUCAAAGAUCGUCCAGGCCUCCUGGGCAGUGAUCAGCGCCGACCCUGGGCCAGUGCAAGGAGCGGGCCAGAGUACCCUCCCCCCACCCUAUUUAAAAACAUCCUCCAGUGGGCAUCUCUGACCUCGGCUUGAACUCCUUCAGGACCAGCUAGAUCACUCCUUCUACCACCGAGGGAAAGGAGGCAAAAUGCAUUCACCAGCCCUGAAUUCCUUCUCAAGGCUUAGCUACUCUGACAGCCAGGGAACUCAGCUUGGAUUCCUGAGGGCUCAGAGGAUGGAAGCUCAGGUCCACAGGGGCAUGGGAGGGGAUGCCUGGAACUUGCUUGAUUUUCCCAGGGGAAAUUCUGCCUCCGUAUGCCAUGAGGUGCAAGGGAGGGCACUCCUUUCUGGGCCUCAGUCUUUCGACCUGCCACAUGGACUAUUAUCACGCUGCUGUUCCCUGCUCAGGUGGCAGCUGAGCACCCUUGGGGAAGGUGGGUGGCAUGAAAGCCUUCCAGACCUCUCAGGAUACCAGGGAAGCAUGGUCCCAGAACAUUCCUGUGGGAGUACAUUCCUGAUCCCCUCCCCCUCAGCCUCUGGGUGGCCCAGGUUCAGGACAUGGGGGUAGCCUUAGAAACCCCUGGAGGCCUGACCCAGGGCUGGAAGGUGUAAUUCAGCUUGCUGAGUGGUGGCUGGAGCCACAGCUGCUCCCCCUGGGAAAGCUAAAGCAUUGCAGCAGGCAGAAAGCUACCCGCCCCCACCCCAGCUCCAAAACCUAGGGAUAGAGUUUCUGGGUUUUGGGGCCUGGAGGGCAGGAAUCCAGCCUCAGCCAAGAACUAGACCGGUUCAAGAUGGGUCAGGAUGCUGUCCUCCCGACAUUUCUGUCCAGAUUCCUCAGUGAGUGACCUGGGCUCACCACCUCCAGGAAAUGGAGAAUGGAGGCAACCUUGCGGGGUGACCACUCAUGUUCAAAAGCUCCUGUCCAGAAGACCCCCCCCCCCCCCGCCAUCUCCUUUACAUCUGAAAACUAGCACGCUACUGCAGAGAGCAGCCCAGCACACAAAGCAGGCUCAACGCUUUGUAGCAUGGAGCUAAGGGUGAUUUCAGCUCUUCCUGGCUGGGCAGGCAUGACACUUGACGGCAGUAAGUCUGAGAAAUCUCCCCUGGGCCCUUGGUCUGCCUCGGCCUCCUGGGGAUCCUGGGCCCCAGUCUUUGGGACUCAGGCCCUUGCUGUCUCUCUUCAUCUUUCAGGGAGAUAACAAGGCAGGUUGGAUCCUUGUUGGGUCUGGCAAGAAGCUGUGACUUAUUUAGUGCCUACUGUGUGCUGGGUUCUGUGGUGAGGGCCUCUUAGCAUUGGCUUACUGAAUCUCACACUGCCUUGAAGUCGAGGCUAUUCCCAUUCUCCCCUUCAGAGAAAAUUCCCCUGUAACUUGCCCAUGGUCAUUCAGGAUUCAAACUCAGGCUCUUGUUAACAAAGUUUCCUGCUGACCUCUCGGCCCAGCUCUGUAUCCUCAUCCAUAGACUCUCCGUGUGGUCGUGGGCAAGUUGCUAGCCCUCUCUGGGCUUCUGUAAACCAAGGAUAAGGUCUCAUGGCGAUGGUCAGGCCUCUUCGGGGACGAUGUGCCUCCACCUUCCUGGCCCUGGCUUCUGUGGGCCUGGAGAUCUGGGGGUGAAGCAGAGGGGAAAGUGCUUUCUCUUCCCAGCCACUGAGAACUGGAAGACAGAUCCCACUCUGCCAAUGCAGGGCCCAGAAAUUAUGUGGCUUCAGAGGCAGCUUAGUGCCCAUCAGGAGGGUGUGGGCUGCAUGAGGCCAGCCGGUGGGCACCAAUGCAGGGUCCUGCCCACACCCAUCUUCAGAGUAGACUUAGGUUUUGUUAACUGCCUUACCUUCCGGGAACCAUCAGCAGGAAAGAAGGCCAUUGCUUAGGCCUGGGCCUAGGGAGUGGGGAGCCAGAAGGUCCAGGGGGCCAUGAGGAAGGCAGUGGUAAGAGGCUUUAGGUCCUGGGGAGAGCAGAGGACCUGUAUAGGGUACAGUGAGUAUGGCCUCCUGGGCCAGGGGCCCUCGCUGGGCUGGGGGAGUGAAGGAGUGACACACAGGGGGCUAACUUCCUACCUCUUCAGGAAUGCCUUCUCUGUCUCCACAGUUCACCCUUCACUCCCCAAAAGGGAGCCCAGGGACCAAAAGGGCAAGAGAAGUGUCACAUUUGUUGAGUCCUUACUGUUUGCCAGGCAUUUUGGAAAUAUUGCCUCAUCCUAUUCUCUCCACAAGCCAGAAGGCAUAAUUCCCACCGAGGGCAAAGGCUCAGAGAGGUUAAGUGACCUGCUUAAGGUCUCACAGUUAUCCAGUGAAUGGGACUGGACCUCAGGGUUGAGAAUGGGGACUUGCCUCCAUUCAUCACGGGGCAAUGGUGCAGACAAGGUGACCUUCUGAGUACUCUGGGGUGGAGUAAGGACUCCUACUCACCUGCCAGGGAAUGACUGGGUCCCCUCCCAUGGUAGUGGGGUAACGGGGAAUAGAGUUAGUCUUCACACCUUGGUGGAUCCGGGAGGCAUUUUGUCCCUGCCCAGCUGUGAGGCAGCUAUGUUUCUAGAGGCGGGUGGUUGGGUGCAGCAGAGAGUGGAUGUGCCCUUCAGCACAUCGGAUCCCCCUGGGCUGCCUCCUCCCAGUAUUCCAGUCCGAUGGCCCACUCCCCUCCUUACCUGGAGGCAGCAGCUGCCCAGCAUCCUGGCCGUGGCUCUCCCAGGCCCUUCCACCAGGAAUGCUGUCUUCGCAGUUCCCGCCAUGGGGCAGAGGUCCAUGGUUCCAGACCCAGCUCAGCCAGCAACCCCUUCUUCUGAUGGGAGGCCCUGGGGAGUCAACUGAAAGCCUGCUUUGGAAGCUGGGCCACCUUCACUCCCAGCCCACCACUGCCCGACUUGUGUAUCUUGAGCACAUCACAGACUCUGUGCUUCUGUUUCCAUAGCUAUCAAGUAAGGGAGUAUGGGACACAGGGGAUGUCCCAUGGCCCUUCUCCCUCUGACUGAGCCUUUGACCCUUGGACAAAGCUACAGUACACUUUAGGGUUUGAGGGGGGCCCUGCUCGGGAGAGUGCUCUCAGAGGGUCUCCUCCGGCCGGAUAGGGAAAGGAAAACACACACACACACACAGAGGGAACGGUCCAGUCUAGGACUGUAAAUAGGCAUAACGACAUUGACACUUUGCUUCACAAGGUACAUCUUAAUCUUCUGAGCCUCGCAAUGGCCCCUUUUCCGGGGACUAAACCGAGCCCCGGAAAGGAGGUGGUGGCUUGCCCGUGGCCACACAGCUGGGAAGUAUCAGAGCUGGGACAAGAACCAGGUGUCCUGAUCCAGUGCUCUCUUCUCUCCUCUGGUGCUUCCAGAGAGCCAUCUGGGAGCUAGGAGGUCCAGCACCGCCGGGGGUCUGGAAAGAGCGACCAGAGGAGGAUCAAGCUUCCUACCGCCAUCCUGAGGGAUGCUCCUGCACCCUGAGGGAAGGGUCCCUCCUCUCUGGCACUGGAGGGGGUGGGAGAAGAUCUCAGACCUCAACAUCUCCCCUCCUCUCCUGGAUAGCAGUCUUGGAGCCUCAAGGCCCACGCCCCCUUGCCCUGACCCAUGCGUGUAGCCGUGCUGGGUGGCUUCCAGACUCGCCAGCAUUCUAUACGUACUCUUACCUCCUCGCGCUCUUCCUGCUCCUAGGACACACCGCUAUCAACCUUCAAGGCCACAGCUACAGCCACAUGCUCAGAGGCCUGCCCUGAUAACUCUAGCAGACGUGCUGUCUACCUGGCCUCAGCCCCCCUGCCUCCAGCAUCAUCAUUGCCAUCAGUGAUUACUUAGUAAGCUCUUACUGUGUGCCAGGCACUGAGUAUCUCAUGCACACGAACUCCUUCUGUCUUCCCGUGAGCUGAUUUUUAUUAGUGGUAGUAGCUUCUCCAUUCUACACAUUAGGAAACUGAGGCACAGGGAGUUGUAUUUGCCCAGCACGACGCCUCGCUAGGCAGGGAAAUUAUUUUGAUGUGCACCCAUCCCCACCCUACCCCCGUCCAACCCCUGGCUGAAGCUUCAGGCCAUAGCAUGGCUCACUGCUCUAUGCCAUCACCCAGCAUAGUGUCUGAGUGACUGACAGGCGGUCAAGUGCAGUGGGAGAGGCAAGGGGCACAUGAGGAUGAACCAGACCCAGCGCUCCAGGAGUUCACAGGCUAUCAGGAAGGACUGCCCACAUCAAAUACCACGCUGAAAGUCUGGAGGAAGGAGAAGAGUUGGCGUUGAGCAGGGUCUGGAAGGCAGCCUCUGCUGGGGUAAUAGACCAGAGUGGGGCAUGGACCUACCCAAGGUCACACAGCAAGUGUGAGGCAGCAGCAGGGUGGGGCCGCGGGCUCCCAGUUUGAUGUGCCUUCGUGCACCUCAUAGCCAGCCGUGGGGUCCCUGAGUCUGUGCUGUUUUUCAAGGACACACGGUCCCAGACGCCUCCCUGAUGCUGAGCUGUUCAGUGAGUGGCUUCAGUCCUUCUCUCCCCUCUAUUAAAUUUUUUUUUUUUUUUUAAAGAAGAAGAAAGAAAGAAAUCCAGGCAUUGUUCCUGACUGCAGCUGGUGCCGACUAGAAUCCCGCCGAACAGAGUGGAGCCAAGAGCCCGGCCGCCAGGGGCCUGGCUGCUGACACAGGGCCUUUCUAUUUUGCUUUCCCCUGGGGGCCCAGGCUGACGUGUCGUCCCCUCCAUGGGCACCCUCUCCACCUGCCUCCCUGGCCCCAGCUCUGAGUCUCCCGCUGCCCUCACCCUCUUUGCGAAAAUCCGAUGCCUCUUGGGAGGGCUGUGGGGCACUGCCACCCCCUGUUUUCCUUCCUCAUCCAUCCCCAACCCCGAGUGAGCUGGGGCCCCCCUCCUCGCUCCCCUACUCUACCAAGGGGGCGGGGGCGGCUUCGGACGCCUGUCUAGGAGAGUGGCAGAAAUCCUUUCUCUAUGGAAUCAUUUGGAACACUGGUUUGAUUUCAGAAUACGCCGGGAUUUUCCACCCCACCCCCACCUGACUUGGCAAGUGGCAGUCCAAGCUCACUCGUUAAGGCAAUUUGCAGCACUGAGGGUUUGGGGGUUGGGAGGGGGUGGGAUGAGGUGCGGUGGCAAUAAACCGCUCUGCAGACAGAAAAAUGCCUUUUAAAGUUACUGGUUUGCCCGCUGCCUCUGCUCCAGGAGACUUGGUCGUAGGAGGAAGAGGUUCCCCCAACUCUCCCUGGCUGUCUUCACGUCAGCCUCCCCUCCCUGCCCCUUUAGAAACUUGAGUUCCAUUUUGCAACACCCCCCACUCCUGCUCCCCAAAGAGCCGGUCUGAUCCAGAUUACCGAAGCAUCAGCCCAAAGAGAGCAGCAGCCUGGCCGCUCUCCAGGGUCCACUGGGAGCCCUUGGGCUUGGCCUGGCCAUCAAAGCCAGCUUCCUGAGCAUUCCCUUUCCUCCUAUGGGCACAACACUUUAGAGUUUGUAAAGAGCGCUUUAUGUGUUACCUGAGUGCCGCAGCAACCUCAAGAGGCAGGCAGAGACGGCACAAGCCACUUUGCAGAGAAAAAAAACGAGGGUUCAGGAGGCCCAGUGGUUUGGCCAAAGUCCUACAAGAAGGGGCAGAAUCAGUAUGUGAACCCCAGCCUUGCAUGUCGCUAAGCAUGAGUAGUAAUGGUCUCAGAGGACGGCAUAUUCCCAGUUCUCCAAAUGCUGCCACAGGAAGGGAUCUCAGACACACUGGUUCAUUCAACGAACAUUUAUCGAAUACCUACGGCAUGCCAAGCACAAAACUAGGCCCUGGGGAUCCCACAGUGAACAAAACAGAUGUGGUCUAUGCUGUCACAGAGCUUAUAUUCUGUUGGAGGAGAGACCCCAAACAAACUGUGCAGUAAGAUGUCCCCGUCCCCACCAGCCCAGCAUGUAGGCUGUGGAAGGAGCCCCGGCGACGCGCUUCUGGUCCCAGUGUUGCCCCUAGCUCCCUGCGUGAUGUCGGACAAGGCUUCCUACCUAUGAAAUCGACAUGUGGCGCUUCACACAUUUCCUCUGGUUCCUGCCCUACUCCCAGCCUCUGAGUCAAUUGGUUAAUGAUUUCCUAGCAUGAAUAAUUACUCGGAUUAAUUUUUUCUCAAACCUGACUUUCCAUAGGCUCUCGGGGCCAGAGAGGGGCUUCUGAGGUCAUCUAAGCCAGAGCCCCUCGGUGCCAUUCGUCUCAGGAGGUGACAAUCUCUGCUUGCAUCCUUCUGGGGGCGGGGAGCUCGCUCCCGUGCGUGGCAGACAACUGCUCAGUGGUGUGCUGGCUAUUUGUGUACUCGGCUUAUCUCGCUGCCAGACUGAGAGGCAGCGGGCUUGCUGAAAGAGCAUGGACUUUGGAGCCCUCGCGACCCGGCCCUGAAUCCCAACCUGGCCACUUACGGCUGUGAGCCCUGGGGAAUCUCGUGCUACCUAUCGGAGCCUCAGUUUCCUUAUCUGCAAAGUGGGGCCGGUGAUGACUACUUCCAAGGUGGUUUGACCAUUGCAUGAGAUUAGAAAUGCGACUCCCCUUUCCUGUUCCUAUCUGGGACUCCCAUCCUCUGGGGGACAGAGAUUCUGUCCAGUGCCUCUUUGUGUCCUGGUUGUCACAGUGUAAAUAUUAACAACAAUGGUAAACAUAUAGCGAUCA